This 639-nucleotide ribosomal RNA is filed under the name Vibrio antiquarius. Its description in RNAcentral is "bacterial SSU rRNA". It matches the Rfam family "Bacterial small subunit ribosomal RNA", at positions 66 to 698 of the family's 1533-position model. The record is from RNAcentral. Lineage: Bacteria; Pseudomonadati; Pseudomonadota; Gammaproteobacteria; Vibrionales; Vibrionaceae.
UCUGAACCUUCGGGGAACGAUAACGGCGUCGAGCGGCGGACGGGUGAGUAAUGCCUAGGAAAUUGCCCUGAUGUGGGGGAUAACCAUUGGAAACGAUGGCUAAUACCGCAUGAUGCCUACGGGCCAAAGAGGGGGACCUUCGGGCCUCUCGCGUCAGGAUAUGCCUAGGUGGGAUUAGCUAGUUGGUGAGGUAAGGGCUCACCAAGGCGACGAUCCCUAGCUGGUCUGAGAGGAUGAUCAGCCACACUGGAACUGAGACACGGUCCAGACUCCUACGGGAGGCAGCAGUGGGGAAUAUUGCACAAUGGGCGCAAGCCUGAUGCAGCCAUGCCGCGUGUAUGAAGAAGGCCUUCGGGUUGUAAAGUACUUUCAGUCGUGAGGAAGGCGGCGUCGUUAAUAGCGGCGUUGUUUGACGUUAGCGACAGAAGAAGCACCGGCUAACUCCGUGCCAGCAGCCGCGGUAAUACGGAGGGUGCGAGCGUUAAUCGGAAUUACUGGGCGUAAAGCGCAUGCAGGUGGUUUGUUAAGUCAGAUGUGAAAGCCCGGGGCUCAACCUCGGAAUAGCAUUUGAAACUGGCAGACUAGAGUACUGUAGAGGGGGGUAGAAUUUCAGGUGUAGCGGUGAAAUGCGUAGAGAUC